AUUGAACGCUGGCGGCAUGCCUUACACAUGCAAGUCGAACGGCAGCAUAGGAGCUUGCUCCUGAUGGCGAGUGGCGAACGGGUGAGUAAUAUAUCGGAACGUGCCCUAGAGUGGGGGAUAACUAGUCGAAAGACUAGCUAAUACCGCAUACGAUCUACGGAUGAAAGUGGGGGAUCGCAAGACCUCAUGCUCCUGGAGCGGCCGAUAUCUGAUUAGCUAGUUGGUGGGGUAAAAGCCUACCAAGGCAACGAUCAGUAGCUGGUCUGAGAGGACGACCAGCCACACUGGGACUGAGACACGGCCCAGACUCCUACGGGAGGCAGCAGUGGGGAAUUUUGGACAAUGGGGGCAACCCUGAUCCAGCAAUGCCGCGUGAGUGAAGAAGGCCUUCGGGUUGUAAAGCUCUUUUGUCAGGGAAGAAACGGUAGUAGCGAAUAACUAUUACUAAUGACGGUACCUGAAGAAUAAGCACCGGCUAACUACGUG
Molecule: ribosomal RNA, 486 nt
Filed under: uncultured organism
Description: bacterial SSU rRNA
Rfam family: Bacterial small subunit ribosomal RNA
Source: RNAcentral